GACGAACGCUGGCGGCGUGCCUAAUACAUGCAAGUCGAACGGUUUAGUUCCAAGAGGCGUGCCUGUUGGGACUAGGCAGUGGCGGACGGGUGAGUAACACGUAGGCAACCUACCUGUCAAACCGGGAUAACCUCGGGAAACCGAAGCUAAACCCGGAUAAGCUCCUUUUUCGCAUGAAGGGGGAGUGAAAAGGUGCGACCAGAUGACAGAUGGGCCUGCGGCGCAUUAGCUAGUAGGUAGGGUAACGGCCUACCUAGGCGAUGAUGCGUAGCCGACCUGAGAGGGCGUACGGCCACACUGGGACUGAGAUACGGCCCAGACUCCUACGGGAGGCAGCAGUAGGGAAUCUUCGGCAAUGGGCGAAAGCCUGACCGAGCAACGCCGCGUGAGUGAGGAAGGCCUUCGGGUUGUAAAACUCUGUUGUUUGGGAAGAAGGGAAAGGGUAGGACCCUUUGGUGACGGUACCAAACGAGAAAGCCCCGGCUAACUACGUGCCAGCAGCCGCAGUAA
Molecule: ribosomal RNA, 510 nt
Filed under: uncultured bacterium
Lineage: Bacteria
Description: partial 16S ribosomal RNA
Rfam family: Bacterial small subunit ribosomal RNA
Source: RNAcentral